Molecule: ribosomal RNA, 236 nt
Filed under: Salmonella enterica
Lineage: Bacteria; Pseudomonadati; Pseudomonadota; Gammaproteobacteria; Enterobacterales; Enterobacteriaceae
Description: partial 16S ribosomal RNA
Rfam family: Bacterial small subunit ribosomal RNA
Source: RNAcentral
AAAUUGAAGAGUUUGAUCAUGGCUCAGAUUGAACGCUGGCGGCAGGCCUAACACAUGCAAGUCGAACGGUAACAGGAAGCAGCUUGCUGCUUUGCUGACGAGUGGCGGACGGGUGAGUAAUGUCUGGGAAACUGCCUGAUGGAGGGGGAUAACUACUGGAAACGGUGGCUAAUACCGCAUAACGUCGCAAGACCAAAGAGGGGGACCUUCGGGCCUCUUGCCAUCAGAUGUGCUGC